This 495-nucleotide ribosomal RNA is filed under the name uncultured bacterium. RNAcentral describes it as "partial 16S ribosomal RNA". It matches the Rfam family "Bacterial small subunit ribosomal RNA", at positions 28 to 523 of the family's 1533-position model. The record is from RNAcentral.
GAUGAACGCUAGCGGGAGGCCUAACACAUGCAAGCCGAGCGGUAUUGUUUCUUCGGAAAUGAGAGAGCGGCGUACGGGUGCGGAACACGUGUGCAACCCGCCUUUAUCUGGGGGAUAGCCUUUCGAAAGGAAGAUUAAUACUCCAUAAUAUAUUGAACGGCAUCGUUUAAUAUUGAAAGCUCCGGCGGAUAGAGAUGGGCACGCGCAAGAUUAGCUAGUUGGUGAGGUAACGGCUCACCAAGGCGAUGAUCUUUAGGGGGCCUGAGAGGGUGAUCCCCCACACUGGUACUGAGACACGGACCAGACUCCUACGGGAGGCAGCAGUGAGGAAUAUUGGUCAAUGGGUGCAAGCCUGAACCAGCCAUCCCGCGUGAAGGACGACUGCCCUAUGGGUUGUAAACUUCUUUUGUAUAGGGAUAAACCUACCCUCGUGAGGGUAGCUGAAGGUACUAUACGAGUAAGCACCGGCUAACUCCGUGCCAGCCGCCGCCGUAA